GACGAAAGCUGGCGGCGUGCUUAACACAUGCAAGUCGAACGGAAAGGCCCUGCUUUUGUGGGGUGCUCGAGUGGCGAACGGGUGAGUAACACGUGAGUAACCUGCCCUUGACUUUGGGAUAACUUCAGGAAACUGGGGCUAAUACCGGAUAGGAGCUCCUGCUGCAUGGUGGGGGUUGGAAAGUUUCGGCGGUUGGGGAUGGACUCGCGGCUUAUCAGCUUGUUGGUGGGGUAGUGGCUUACCAAGGCUUUGACGGGUAGCCGGCCUGAGAGGGUGACCGGCCACAUUGGGACUGAGAUACGGCCCAGACUCCUACGGGAGGCAGCAGUGGGGAAUAUUGCACAAUGGGCGGAAGCCUGAUGCAGCAACGCCGCGUGCAGGAUGACGGCCUUCGGGUUGUAAACCGCUUUCGCCUGUGACGAAGCGUGAGUGACGGUAAUGGGUAAAGAAGCACCGGCUAACUACGUG
Molecule: ribosomal RNA, 468 nt
Filed under: uncultured bacterium
Lineage: Bacteria
Description: partial 16S ribosomal RNA
Rfam family: Bacterial small subunit ribosomal RNA
Source: RNAcentral